AGAGUUUGAUCAUGGCUCAGAUUGAACGCUGGCGCCUUGCUUAACACAUGCAAGUCGAGCGGAAACGAUGAUAGCUUGCUAUCAGGCGUCGAGCGGCGGACGGGUGAGUAAUACUUAGGAAUCUACCUAGUAGUGGGGGAUAGCUCGGGGAAACUCGAAUUAAUACCGCAUACGACCUACGGGAGAAAGGGGGCAACUUGUUGCUCUCGCUAUUAGAUGAGCCUAAGUCGGAUUAGCUAGAUGGUGGGGUAAAGGCCUACCAUGGCGACGAUCUGUAGCUGGUCUGAGAGGAUGAUCAGCCACACCGGGACUGAGACACGGCCCGGACUCCUACGGGAGGCAGCAGUGGGGAAUAUUGGACAAUGGGGGCAACCCUGAUCCAGCCAUGCCGCGUGUGUGAAGAAGGCCUUUUGGUUGUAAAGCACUUUAAGCAGUGAAGAAGACUCCGUGGUUAAUACCCACGGACGAUGACAUUAGCUGCAGAAUAAGCACCGGCUAACUCUGUGCCAGCAGCCGCGGUAAUACAGAGGGUGCAAGCGUUAAUCGGAAUUACUGGGCGUAAAGCGAGCGUAGGUGGCUUGAUAAGUCAGAUGUGAAAUCCCCGGGCUUAACCUGGGAACUGCAUCUGAUACUGUUAGGCUAGAAUAGGUGAGAGGAAGGUAGAAUUCCAGGUGUAGCGGUGAAAUGCGUAGAGAUCUGGAGGAAUACCGAUGGCGAAGGCAGCCUUCUGGCAUCAUAUUGACACUGAGGUUCGAAAGCGUGGGUAGCAAACAGGAUUAGAUACCCUGGUAGUCCACGCCGUAAACGAUGUCUACUAGUCGUUGGGUCCCUUGAGGACUUAGUGACGCAGCUAACGCAAUAAGUAGACCGCCUGGGGAGUACGGCCGCAAGGUUAAAACUUAAAUGAAUUGACGG
Molecule: ribosomal RNA, 915 nt
Filed under: uncultured bacterium
Lineage: Bacteria
Description: bacterial SSU rRNA
Rfam family: Bacterial small subunit ribosomal RNA
Source: RNAcentral